GGACCAUCAUGUCGGUCGUGCCUCGGUACGUACUGGCAUUAUUGGUUUCUCCCUUCUGAAGAACCAUGAUGUCAUUAAUUUGGUGUCAUGGGGAAUCAGGACUGUUACUUUGAAAAAAUUAGAGUGUUUAAAGCAGGCUCGCGCUUGAAUACAUUAGCAUGGAAUAAUGAAAUAGGACGUUUAAUUCUAUUUUGUUGGUUUCUAGGAUUGACGUA
This 215-nucleotide ribosomal RNA is filed under the name Campeiostachys nutans. Its description in RNAcentral is "Elymus nutans partial small subunit ribosomal RNA". The stretch from base 46 to 215 matches the Rfam family "Eukaryotic small subunit ribosomal RNA", at positions 693 to 864 of the family's 1831-position model. The record is from RNAcentral. Lineage: Eukaryota; Viridiplantae; Streptophyta; Magnoliopsida; Poales; Poaceae.